RNAcentral lists this ribosomal RNA (493 nucleotides) under uncultured Anaerolineaceae bacterium. RNAcentral's name for it is "bacterial SSU rRNA". It matches the Rfam family "Bacterial small subunit ribosomal RNA", at positions 904 to 1382 of the family's 1533-position model. Lineage: Bacteria; Bacillati; Chloroflexota; Anaerolineae; Anaerolineales; Anaerolineaceae. The record is from RNAcentral.
UUCGCCACGCCCGCUACAAGUAAACUUAAUAGAAUGACGGGCCCCGCACAAGCAGCGGAGCGUGUGGUUUAAUUCGAUGCUACACGAAGAACCUUACCAGGGUUUGACAUACAAGUAGUAGGGAAAGGAAACUGGACCGACCCUUCGGGGAGCUUGAACAGGUGCUGCAUGGCUGUCGUCAGCUCGUGUCGUGAGAUGUUCGGUUAAGUCCGCUAACGAGCGCAACCCUCGCUGUGUGUUACAAGUGUCACACGGAACUGCCGGUCAUAAACCGGAGGAAGGUGGGGAUGACGUCAAGUCAGCAUGGCCUUUAUAUCCUGGGCUACACACACGCUACAAUGGGAAGGGACAAUAGGUUGCGAAACCGCGAGGUGGAGCCAAUCCAGCAAAACUUCCCUCAGUUCAGAUUGCAGGCUGCAACUCGCCUGCAUGAAGUUGGAGUUGCUAGUAAACGCAGGUCAGCCAUACUGCGUUGAAUACGUUCCCGGGGCUU